GUUAUCAAUGGCCAUUACAAAACAAAAAAACAUGACCGUAACUAGUCUAUAACCAUUUUUUCACUCCCUGCUCAUCCCUCCAGGUCCAUCCGUUUCACUCUGCCUACUCAUCCAUCUGCUCCAGUGACUUCGUCUGCAAUCAGGUAACUCUCCCCUACAAAAGAAUCAUAAUUUUGAAAUUAAAAACCUUAGGCUUACAGAGGAAGACGAUGUAGAACUUUUGUAUUUCUCCGAGACCAGCGAUUCAUGACACAAUUUCACUUGCUAAGAAUAUGAAGAUGAAGAUGAUGAAUUAUGUAGAUCUGACAGCGAUGAAUUCUAUAAAGAGAACGACACUGCAUUACCAGCCGCUCUUUUGAGGUACACCGUUAUUGUACAGGGUGGGGUCUAUAUAGCAGGUCUACUGAUACAUCUUGCCUCAUAUCAUAUAUUUGAGGAAUCUGUCAUAAUUCAACAAAUCUAUGGGUGUGGUAGUUAGAAUAUUGUAGAUUACAUUGAGUUUUUGUUAUAAUGUCGUUUUGAUCUGGUAUAUUCCAAUUCAGUUUAUGUUCAAUUUGAUUUUUUGCAUCUGGAUCAUACCGAAUUCGGAUCCCAAUCUGCUACAGGAUUCGCAAAUGUUUCAAGAUGAUGGAUGGUGCUGAAAUUGUUUGCAGUGAGGUGGUUUAUAAGGUGGAGGAGGAGAACUGUGGUUCUAGUAUGAAUGCAGCUGGUGGUGUUGCUACUGUUGAUUAUAAUGUCAUUAGUAAUAGUAAUUGUAACGGCAAUGACGGUUUCGCCUGUGUAUGUGAACAUGAGUGUCGAGGUGAGUGCUGGUGAGUUUGGUGAUGUAGGUGGUGUUAAUUUUGAUGGUGAAUUAGAGCAGUUUAAUGGUCAUCUUAUCUUGACGAGGUCUCGGGGGAACAGAAGACAGAUGUUAAGAGCACCGAAGAAGUGGAUGAUACUGGUUCAGGGCUUACCGAGUCCACUCUGAACAUUGUAUAAAGCUCUCGUGUGACUAGUUCUGAGUUUGAGUAUAACCUGCAUGAACUUGAUAAACAACAUCAACAAUUUGGACCCCAUUUUUAAAACAUUGUUUUCUACAUGUGUUCACCCAAUUUGUACCCAUAGCAAACGUCUAAAGUAUUUUUAUAUAUAAUUUCUUUAUUUUUUCCGUAAUUUUAUAAUUAGUCAUUAUAACUAUUUAAAAAUAUAUUUAAUAUUAAUUAAAAAAUUAUAUAAAAAUGGGUUCGUUUAGGAUCAUGAGCCGGCUCGAGCUCGAUAAGCGAAGCUCGGGCUUGGGCUCGUUUACUAAACAAGUUUGUUUUUAGGCUUGGACUCAAACUCAUUUAAGCUCGGCUCUUUUCGAGCGAGCUUAAGUAGCUCGCGGGUUAGCUCGACUCGUUUGCACACCCAUGGAACCACUCCGGUUUUGUUUUCAGGUUCCAUUUCUCAUUCAUUAGAUACUUUUGUUUGUAUCUGAUUUUUUCUAAUUAUCUUUUAAAAUGUGGGCACCUUUUUACUUGUUGGGAUGGAUCAUUUGGUCAGCUUUGGCUGGGUGAUUACAUGUGACAAAGUUCUCUGAUAAAAGUAUCACAUUUUGCAUCGAGGCAUGUUUACCAAAUCACGCUGGCAAAAAAAGAAAUUACCGUUGAAGGCCGUGAUGUGCCGAAACCUAUUAAGAUUUAAGACUUCCAGUGAUGCCAGAUUUGCAGGUGAUACCGCUACACCUGCCCUCUGGUGAUACAUCAAUCGAGAGAACAAUACAGAUAGAUAGAACAAGUGAUCAGAUCGAGGCUAAAAACCAAUGGUUAAUGAAAUUAUGAGUGAGAAUCGUGCAAGAAAGUCAAUGGGGGCCGGAUAUUCUCCGCACGGUUAUCAAGCCCAACCGGUGUGCCAUAACAGUCGGGUUCUAUAGAUGAGUACAUUGAAGUUGAAGAGAAACUGCUGGCCUAAAAACCAAAACCUUGGACUUUGUGCAUGCUGCUAGUCUCCCCUAUGCAAUUGGGACCAUGUAUAAUGGUCUAGAGCGAGCCAGUUUCUCAAAAGGUUUACUAUGCUGCUGAUUGUUCAUGGGGCUGGUAUGUGUUAUUGUUGGACACAUACAUCGCUUGCAAGCAUACUUGCUAGCAAUAACCCAACUUCUACUGUUGCAUAGAAUUAAACCCCAGCAGCACUAGUUCCAGCAAAGGUAAACAAGGCUUGAUCUAUCUUGUUUAUCUAUUGUCGAUGUGGCAUUGAGUCAGACAAGGAGCAAGAACAAGAAAGAAGCGUGAAACAGUUUUUAGUUUGUGUAUUGUCAUUUCCCUUUGCAACUUUUGUAGAUAGCUUUUGAUUACAAGUUUGUGUUUAAGUAUUUAAAUUGAAAACGUAUGUAUGGAUUUGGGUUUAUUAUUGUUAAUACUAUUUGGUUUUAGGGUUUC
Long non-coding RNA from Helianthus annuus (common sunflower), 2399 nucleotides. RefSeq lists it as uncharacterized. The record is from RefSeq and is a predicted model, not a curated record. The transcript has 5 exons. Lineage: Eukaryota; Viridiplantae; Streptophyta; Magnoliopsida; Asterales; Asteraceae.